AGAGUUUGAUCCUGGCUCAGAACGAACGCUGGCGGCGUGCCUAACACAUGCAAGUCGAACGAGAAAAUCCCCUUCGGCGGGAGAAUAAAGUGGCACACGGGAGAAUAACGCGUGGAUAAUCUGCCUUUAAUCGGGAAAUAACUUACCGAAAGGUGGGCUAAUACCCCAUAAAGCUAUGGAACUCCGGUUUUCAUAACCGAAGAUAACCUCUGCAUGCAACCCCUCACUUAGAAAUGACUCCUCGUACCAUUACCUAGUUGGUGGGGUAAUGGCCUACCAAGGCAACAAUGGUUAGCUGGUCUGAGAGGAUGAUCAGCCUCACUGGAACUGAGACACGGUCCAGACUCCUACGGGAGGCAGCAGUGAGGAAUAUUGCGCAAUGGGGGCAACCCUGACGCAGCAACGCCGCGUGAGUGAGGAAGCUUUUCGGAUCGUAAAGCUCUGUCGGGCGGGAAGAAAUGUAUGGAGGUUAACAGCCUUUGUACUUGACGGUACCCCCAAAGGAAGCACCGGCUAACUCCGUGCCAGCAGCCGCGGUAAUACGGGGGGUGGUAGCGUUGUUCGGAAUCAUUGGGCGUAAAGAGCGCGUAGGCGGUUAGGCAAGUCAGAUGUGAAAUCCCUGGGCUCUAACCCGAGGACGUGCAUUCGAAACUGCCUUGGCUUGAGUAGGGAAGAGGAAAGUGGAAUUCCUGGUGUAGAGGUGAAAUUCGUAGAUAUCAGGAGGAACACCGGUGGCGAAGGCGACUUUCUGGUCCUAUCCUGACGCUGAGACGCGAGAGCCUGGGGAGCAAACAGGAUUAGAUACCCUGGUAGUCC
Molecule: ribosomal RNA, 816 nt
Filed under: uncultured bacterium
Lineage: Bacteria
Description: bacterial SSU rRNA
Rfam family: Bacterial small subunit ribosomal RNA
Source: RNAcentral